RNAcentral lists this ribosomal RNA (253 nucleotides) under uncultured bacterium. Its description in RNAcentral is "partial 16S ribosomal RNA". It matches the Rfam family "Bacterial small subunit ribosomal RNA", at positions 524 to 776 of the family's 1533-position model. The record is from RNAcentral.
UACGUAGGGCGCAAGCGUUGUCCGGAAUUAUUGGGCGUAAAGAGCUCGUAGGCGGCUUGUUGCGUCGGUUGUGAAAGCCCGGGGCUUAACCCCGGGUCUGCAGUCGAUACGGGCAGGCUAGAGUGUGGUAGGGGAGAUCGGAAUUCCUGGUGUAGCGGUGAAAUGCGCAGAUAUCAGGAGGAACACCAGUGGCGAAGGCGGAUCUAUGGGCCAUUACUGACGCUGAGGAGCGAAAGCGUGGGGAGCGAACAGG